RNAcentral lists this ribosomal RNA (468 nucleotides) under uncultured bacterium. RNAcentral describes it as "partial 16S ribosomal RNA". It matches the Rfam family "Bacterial small subunit ribosomal RNA", at positions 28 to 507 of the family's 1533-position model. The record is from RNAcentral.
GACGAACGCUGGCGGCGCGCCUAACACAUGCAAGUCGAACGGAGCUGAGAGAAGCUUGCUUUUCUUAGCUUAGUGGCGAACGGGUGAGUAACGCGUGAGUAACCUGCCCUGGAGUGGGGGACAACAGUUGGAAACGACUGCUAAUACCGCAUAAGCCCACGAUCCGGCAUCGGAUUGAGGGAAAAGGAUUUAUUCGCUUCAGGAUGGACUCGCGUCCAAUUAGCUAGUUGGUGAGGUAACGGCCCACCAAGGCGACGAUUGGUAGCCGGACUGAGAGGUUGAACGGCCACAUUGGGACUGAGACACGGCCCAGACUCCUACGGGAGGCAGCAGUGGUGGAUAUUGCACAAUGGGGGAAACCCUGAUGCAGCGACGCCGCGUGGAGGAAGAAGGUUUUCGGAUUGUAAACUCCUGUCGUUAGGGACGAUAAUGACGGUACCUAACAAGAAAGCACCGGCUAACUACGUG